AUAAAAGAAAGUAAAUAAGGGCGCAUGGCGGAUGCCUUGGCUCUCGGAGGCGAUGAAGGACGUGAUAAGCUGCGAUAAGCUUCGGGUAGGUGCAAAUGACCUUUGAUCCGAAGAUUUCCGAAUGGGACAACCCGGCAUUCUGAAGGAAUGUCAUCCAACUUGGUUGGAGGCUAACGCAGGGAACUGAAACAUCUUAGUACCUGCAGGAAAAGAAAAUAAAUAAUGAUUCCCCUAGUAGUGGCGAGCGAACGGGGAUUAGCCCAAACCACCCAUGUUACGGCAUGUGUGGGGUUGUAGGACCACGCUCUCGCAAGACAGUUAUUGAGAAGAAACGACUGGAAAGUCGUGCCAUAGACGGUGAUAGCCCGGUAUUCUAAGGUAACCGAAGCGUAGUGGUAUCCUGAGUAGCGCGGAGCACGAGGAAUUCUGCGUGAAUCAGCCGGGACCAUCCGGUAAGGCUAAAUACUCCCGAGAGACCGAUAGCGAACCAGUACUGUGAAGGAAAGGUGAAAAGCACUUCGAAUAGAAGAGUGAAAUAGUCCCUGAAACCAUGCGCCUACAAGCGGUCGGAGCAGCUUAAGCUGUGA
Molecule: ribosomal RNA, 587 nt
Filed under: Bacteroides fragilis
Lineage: Bacteria; Pseudomonadati; Bacteroidota; Bacteroidia; Bacteroidales; Bacteroidaceae
Description: partial 23S ribosomal RNA
Rfam family: Bacterial large subunit ribosomal RNA
Source: RNAcentral